Non-coding RNA from Pelobates cultripes (western spadefoot toad), 563 nucleotides. The record is from the annotation of a GenBank genome assembly. NCBI's taxonomy places the organism in Eukaryota, Metazoa, Chordata, Amphibia, Anura, Pelobatidae.
UAAAAAUGAUCUGCCUAAUGUCUGCAAAACCUCAAAUGUACACAUGUACGCAGACGACACAGUAAUCUAUGCGAGCAAAUCCGAGCUACCGCAGCUUGAGGCUGUGCUCCAAGGCCAGUUUACAGAGGUAGAAAAGUGGAUCGCAAAAAACAAACGUCCUAAACACUGACAAAACUGUCACAAUGAUAUUUGGAACAGUAUCUAAAUUACACAAAUUACACAAUUCCCACCUAUCCAUCAAAACUAAUUCAAAUAGCACACUGACCGCAGUCCACUCUUUUAAAUACUUGGGUAUGUUGUUAGACCCCAAUCUAUCUUUUGGCCUCCACAUAGAAAAUUUUGCAUCUAAACUUUAUCCAAAACUAGGUGCCCUGUACAGAAACAAAUCCUGCCUCAGCCCAACAGUAAAGGAAAAGAUUGUACAGCAAAUACUAAUGCCAAUCAUUGAUUAUGGGGAUGUAGUAUAUGCAUCUGCACCGCAAUCCCACAUUAAUAAACUCAAUACAUUGUAUAACUCGUUCUGCCGAUUUGUGCUACAAUGUAACUACAGAACCCACCACUGU